This 4387-nucleotide long non-coding RNA is filed under the name Homo sapiens (human). Its description in RNAcentral is "LNC_000025". Lineage: Eukaryota; Metazoa; Chordata; Mammalia; Primates; Hominidae. The record is from RNAcentral.
GGGGAGUGAACACAAAGUACAUUUGACCACAAAAUGACUCUUUAAAAGUCAGAACUACGGUAGCAUGAAGCCAAACGAGAUUCUACUUCUGCAGGGUUCCACAGAAGUCUCCAAUCUUCAAAUCUUCAGUGUAUGAAAGCACAGAUUCCUGAAAGAAUGGCCUCAAAUGACCAGGAGUAGGAGCUCUCUAUAUCCCUGCUCCUGAAAAACAAGCUAACUGGAGUCUCCAUCACCUGCCACCAGCUAUACACACUACCAACUACCCAACUGAACUCCAUGACUGAUUUGCCAGCUAAUCAUGCCCCUGACCCAGCCCACAUGGACAUGGGAAGGACAUCAGUGAACCGUGAAAAGAGGCAGAGGUGAGGAGACACCUGUCCUGUGCCACACAUCUAUGUAGUUCAGCAAUUUCCAGCCCCUUAGUACUCCAGGGGCUCUAAGCCACCCCUUUGUAAGUCAGGAUGGAAGUAGAUGACACCACAUUUUUAUCUGCUGUAGACAUUCUUCCCAGUGUCUCAAAAUGUUUUGGCAUCUUUCAGUAAAAAUCUUCAAGUUUGUCAGUCCUUGAUUUAAAAAAAAAAAGCAGCAAAAUUUUUAGAGCUCCCUUGAACCUUCUAUUUUAAUGUGCCUUUGUAGAUAAUUCCCAACAUCUUGUGUCCUUCAUUUUUAUAAUUUAUCUUUAUCAAACUUGUCAUAAACCCCAAUACUUUGAUCUCUUGUAGAAGAGUCCGUACUCCUAUCCAGUCCAGUGUUGUUUAUCUUCAAACUUGGACUUCCCCUGCUCAUUCCAUUCUUAUCUACUUCCAUUGGGUUCACCAGCUAAUUCCAUUCUCAUUCUAUCCACAGGCUCACUCCCGUUUGUAUUAUUAAAACACACGCCAAUAGGACAUAAAAAGAAGCAAGAGUACUGGGCUUUACCAUGAGUUCAAAUCUCAUUUCUGCCAAUUCCUAUGUCUAAAAAAAAAAGCUUCCUAAUCUCUUUGAGCCUCACAUUCUCUAUCUAGAGAAUCACUUGACCAGAAUGUUCAAUGCAGAUAAAAAUACUAGAAGGUAUUUUAAUUCAUUCCAAGAUUCCUUAAAAUUCUGUAAUUCUAUGUCCUCUUGAUUCUGUCUAUAGAAAAACUUGGAAUACAUAGGCAGCAGAGUUUGAAAAAAAUAAUAGAACAAAAGAAACACCAAGAAAAACAGAGAAGAAAGUUUUAAAAAAUGAAGACAAGAUUAUAUAAAAGUCAUGGAAAAAGCAACAAGACUAAAAAAUGUAUUAUGGAAGUAAGCAGAAAUACUUGCCUAAAUGGAAAACCAAACUGGGAAGUCAAAUAAUUUGUCUCUAAGACUUGCCUAAACUUGCUUUGGUAAAACUUACAGUCCUAUGGCCAAAGCUAAGUCAGAUCUGCCCUAGAGCCUUUGAAGGUAAAAAUAAGAUACUGGUUACCACUGAAAUCGUCAAAUUUAUUAGGACUAACCACAUUCUAACAAUAAACUUAAAUGAGAGUUCAAGGUAUUUAAACUCUCAUUAAUUUAGAAGUUAAUCAAAUUAAUGAAUCCGAUUGAUCUGAUUCAGACCUAUACUUUGAUCCAAGGACUGCACAGAUAUCUAUCAAUCUAUGCUGAGGAGCAAGAGAAAGGAUUUGGAAGGCAGGUAGGCUGAUGGUCAAACUGUAGGCCAGCUACUUUGUUAACUAUGGGAUCAUGAGGCAAUUAAUCAGCUCUAAUCCAUAGUUGUUUAUUUAACAGUAGGUUAUAGGAACACAGAUGUUAUGAUGGCUUUAUGAGAUGAUAAAUGCAUAGAACAUAUUAGGAUGUCUAGCCCAGAAUACAACACUCAACAGAUAUUAGUUUCUUCCAUCUAUAUUUUCUUAGUUAACAUAAUUUUUUAAAUCUAUGAAAUCUUACCUGACUGCAGAUUCAUCAGGAAUUCCAACAUCUAUUAAAGAAAAAGGUAAAAUGCAUUUUAAAUCAAUAAUAAAUGUACAGAAUAUUAAAAUCAUAAGAAUGCACAGUGAUGCAUGCCUCUAAUCCAAACUACUUGAGAGGAUGAGGCAGGAGGAUCACUUGAGGAGCUCAGAAGUUUGAGACCAGCUUGGGAAACAUAAUAAGACUCUACCUUCAUAAAAAAAUUGUGCACACUUGUGUGUAUGCUUUACAUCCUGUUUGUUGUUGUUGUUGUUGUUGUUGUUGUUUUGGUUUGGUUUGGUUUUUUAAAGCAUAAGACUGACGCUUUGUUACAAAGCAUUCCUUUGGGAGCAUGCCUGGGAUCUUAUUAGAAUUAACAUUCAUUAUACGUAUUGGUAGGUAAUUAAUGCAGUAAGAACUCUUCCCUCUGUGUUUAUUAGAUGCAAAGAAGAAUAAAUUUAUUAAAAUUUGGUAUCUACAAGUGAGCUGCAGUAUACAAGUCAUCCUAGCCAAAGCCUAUGAGAUUGAGUAAAAAUGGUAUUGUUAGCAGAACAGGUGUGAUGAGUCAACAGUGUCAAAGAGCAUGAUUUCUGGACCAAAAUAUGAGGGGCCAUUACAACAGAGUAUACACUAGUACCCCUUAUCCACUAUAUGCGCAGAAAGACAUACUUGACACGUUUUUCUCUGUUGUCACACCACAGCAACAAUCAUCAACAAAGAAGGCUUCUGUGACCAAAUGUGUGGAGAGUUUUUCCCCACCAACAAACAAGCAAUCAUUCCUGCUGAUGACACAAUUCAAUUCUCACACCCUAUCUACAGAUAACAUCAGAUUUAAUUUAAUUUAUAAAUUAAACUUUCUCAUAGAUAUGUAUGUAUAGGGAAAAACAGCUUGUGAUUCAGUACUCUUCAUGGUUUCAUGCAUGCACUGGGGGUCUUGGAAUGUAUCUCCCACAGUUAAGAUGUAGUUACUGCACUUAUUUUGUUAUAACACAACACAGCCUCUCUAGCUCUUCAGUUCAAACUGUUUAGUUUAGAAUUAAACAUGCUAUCGCCAGAAACCAACAAAACAUAGGAAUCAGACCAGAAACAGGAAUCCUUGCAAAGACUUUCCAGCCACCAGUGGAGAAGAUCUCAAGAGAGAUCAGUGUGUUACUCUGGCUAAUACUCUUCUGGGUAAGGUGCUGGGUGGUUUCCUUAGUUGUAGCUAUUUGCUCUGGCCUACGUAUAACAAGGCCCAAAUUCACCUGCCAUUUUACCUCCCACGAAAGAACCACUGGAAAGAUCACUCCGUUAAGAGCUUAUCCACAUUCAGAGAGAAGCUGAAUAAACACUCGGGAGGUAUGGCAGGCUGCCGGGCAAUAUUAUCUGAUGUGAAAAAAUAUAUAGAAAGAAAACUAUCAAUGCCCUUUUACUACCAGAAUGUUCUAAUGCUUGCCCAUCUCCCUAGUAGGAGAAAAAAACUUUUGCACCUCGCAUAAAGCAAAACUCCCUUGUCAUCUCUCAUGACAGAAUCUAGUUGUAGGUGAGUCAUGUCAUCAUAAUACAGGCUGUUGUCAACCUCAUCCCUCAAAGGAAGAGGAUCAGUGAGGAACUUAUGUAUUUACCUAAUAGCAUUCACUGCCUGGUCUUAUUUCCAACCGAAGGUAAGUAUGAAAGACUUUGUGAUUCCAGUUUUAUAAAGCACAACCCUUUGCACUUGUCCCCUUCCAUUGCUAAAAAGUCUAUCUGGACCCACCUCACAGAGCAAGAUGCUCCAGGUUGUGCUGUGUAGUACGGCGUGGUGUCCUUUUCCUCAACCCUUUCUAUUAUGUGCCACAUAUCUAUACAAAUCAUGUUUUCUAAGUAUGUAAAUCAUAUCUCAACAGAAUACAUCAUUCUUUACAAUGAUAAAGAAGCAAAAGAAAAACAAAAGGACAAAGAACAUCUUAAAUGACUACAUUCAACUGCCAUGGAGCUUUAAUUUUUUAACUACUCAAAAAGAUAUCCAUUCUUCUUAUUCCAACUAUAUGACUCUUCUGAAAAAAGUAAAACUAUGAAGACAGAGUAAACAUCAAUUGUUGUCACGAGUUGCUAGGGAGAAAGGGAGAGAUGAACAGGCAUAGCACAGAGAAUUUUUAGGGCGGUGAAACUGUUCUGUCGAUAAUAUUACAGUAAUAGAUACAUGUCAUGUCAUUAUACAUUUGUCCAAAUUCACAGAAUGUACAGCAUCAAGAGUGAGGCCUGAUGUAAACUAUGAACUUCAAGUGAUUAUGUCAAUGUAAGUUCAUCAGUUGUAACAAAUGGACCACUCUCUGGUGGAAAAUAUUAAUAAUGGGGGAGGCUAUGCGUGUGUGGGAGGCAUGGGAUAUAUGAGAAAUCUCUGUACCUUCCUCUCAAUUUUGCUGUGAACCUAAAACUACUCUAAGAAAUAAGGUUAUUGAUUUAAAAAAAAUAUUCAGCUGGGCUCAGUGGCUCAUGCCUGUAAUCUCAGCACUUUGGGAGGCAAAAGUGGGUG